GCCAGGAAUGAUAGCAUGUGUCUAUAGUCCCAGCUAUUCAGGAGGCUGAAGUGGGAGGAUUGCUUGAGUCCAGGAGUUCUGGGCUGUAGUGCGCGAUGCCAGUUGAGUGUCUGCACUAAGUUCAGCAUCAGUGGGGUGAUCUCCCAGAAGCAGGAGACCACCAGGUUGCCUAAAGAGGGGUGAACUGGCCCAGGUUGGAAACAGAGCAGUGCAAAACUCCCGCACUGAUAAGUAUUGGCAUCAUACCUGUAAAGAGCGACUGCCCAGCAGCCUGGCCAACAUACUGAAACCUGCCUCU
Colobus angolensis palliatus is the source of this 298-nucleotide unclassified non-coding RNA. It matches the Rfam family "Metazoan signal recognition particle RNA". Rfam says of the family: The signal recognition particle (SRP) is a universally conserved ribonucleoprotein. Lineage: Eukaryota; Metazoa; Chordata; Mammalia; Primates; Cercopithecidae. The record is from Ensembl.